RNAcentral lists this ribosomal RNA (273 nucleotides) under Triticum aestivum (bread wheat). RNAcentral describes it as "partial small subunit ribosomal RNA". Lineage: Eukaryota; Viridiplantae; Streptophyta; Magnoliopsida; Poales; Poaceae. The record is from RNAcentral.
AUGCCAAGCGGGCGCUCUUCGCCGGCGGGGACGACCAGGACCUGCUCUUCCCUGGCAUCUUCACCCCCAAGGGCUCUGGCCCCAGGAAGAUCCCCAGGUCGCCCUACAAGGUGCUGGAUGCACCCGCAUUGCAGGACGACUUCUACCUCAACCUCGUGGAUUGGUCUUCGCACAAUGUCCUCUCGGUCGGAUUGGGGAAUUGCGUCUACCUGUGGAAUGCAUGCAGCAGCAAGCUCUGCGAUUUGGGGGCGGACGACACCGUUUGUUCCGUGA